Long non-coding RNA from Oreochromis aureus, 1124 nucleotides. RefSeq lists it as uncharacterized. The record is from RefSeq and is a predicted model, not a curated record. The transcript is spliced from 2 exons. NCBI's taxonomy places the organism in Eukaryota, Metazoa, Chordata, Actinopteri, Cichliformes, Cichlidae.
CCUUGGGAAUGUUAAAGCCUUGCACAUCAGAGAACACCAAGCGGCCGCUACAAUAAGGUGGAGAUGGCAUCUGGAUAACAGACGGAGAUGCAGAGGUCCUGGAGCAGGUGCUGGCGAUACGAGUGUGAGGGGACAACGGAGUGAAACAGGCUGCUCCAGACAGCUGAACCAUGACCCAUCCAGCAGCCGUUGAAUCUGCUGCAGAGCCUACAGCCCAAGUGGAGCCAUACAGUGCCCAAACCAGCUUCCGAAUGAUGGAUGUGCAAGAUCAACUACUACCCAUCGCCGACCUUGACUUUAAUCAAGAAUAGGACCAAGUCGUCUCGAGUAUUCUUAGAAGCUAUGCAAGAUCCAGCAGUCAAGAAGUACCAUAAGAGACUUUUCUCGGACUCAUAAAUUAGUUGAAAUAUGGACUGAAAAAGGGACACAAGUUGAGUAAAGGUUGAAGCUGCUGCAGAGAAAUGUCAACCUUGAAGCUACCAAAGGACAUUUCAAAGCCCACACUGAGAAGUCUGUUCAGAAAUAGAAGUUGCACCUGACCAAGAUGAAACCCAAAACUUGGAAUUAAUUGUUUAAUUGUAUUAUUUUUAAUGCCAUUUAUGGUGUUGUGUAAGCCAUGUAUGUAUUAUGUGUCUCUACUGAUGUGUUUUAUGCCUUACUUUCAUUUUCUUGUAAUUAGGCUGAUUUUUAAGUUUCUUGAGUAUUCUGUUAAGGAUACUGUGUAGUAUGAUUUGCAAAUGAAGAUGAAUCAAUUUGUCUUAAAUUAAUUGACUAAGAGAAAUGGAAUAUUGGGAGAAUGUUAUGUUGAUGACUAUGAGGUUUUUGGUGGAAGGAAGGGCUUAUUCAUUUGAGCAAUAACUGUGUGGGAUCUUUAUACAAAUUCUUAUGUUCUAUUUAGAGCUUGCUUUAAAAUAUGUUAGCAAAAAAACAGCGCACGCAUUAGUUUUCACAAUUUUUGUUCUUUUUUAGUUAUGGGGUCUUUUUAGGUGGUACCUCUAGGUACCACAGGGGGGAAUGUGGUGGAUUUUUGUGUGAUAUGUAUAACUAUGUAACUAUAUACACUAUAUAUCUAUGUGCACUGAACAUAUAUAUUUUAACUUUCAUAUAGAGUCUUAAGCACAAGA